This 253-nucleotide ribosomal RNA is filed under the name uncultured bacterium. Its description in RNAcentral is "partial 16S ribosomal RNA". It matches the Rfam family "Bacterial small subunit ribosomal RNA", at positions 524 to 776 of the family's 1533-position model. The record is from RNAcentral.
UACAGAGGUCUCAAGCGUUGUUCGGAUUCAUUGGGCGUAAAGGGUGCGUAGGUGGCGCUGUAAGUCGGGUGUGAAAUUUCGGAGCUUAACUCCGAAACUGCAUUCGAUACUGCGGUGCUUGAGGACUGGAGAGGAGACUGGAAUUCAUGGUGUAGCAGUGAAAUGCGUAGAGAUCAUGAGGAAGACCAGUGGCGAAGGCGAGUCCCUGGACAACACCUGACACUGAGGCACGAAGGCCAGGGGAGCAAACGGG